UGGGGAAUUUUGGACAAUGGGGGAAACCCUGAUCCAGCCAUCCCGCGUGUGCGAUGAAGGCCUCCGGGUUGUAAAGCACUCUUGGCAGGAAAGAAACGUCAUGGGUUAAUACCCCGUGAAACUGACGGUACCUGCAGAAUAAGCACCGGCUAACUACGUGCCAGCAGCCGCGGUAAUACGUAGGGUGCAAGCGUUAAUCGGAAUUACUGGGCGUAAAGCGUGCGCAGGCGGUUCGGAAAGAAAGAUGUGAAAUCCCAGAGCUCAACUUUGGAACUGCAUUUUUAACUACCGGGCUAGAGUGUGUCAGAGGGAGGUGGAAUUCCGCGUGUAGCAGUGAAAUGCGUAGUUAUGCGGAGGAACACCGAUGGCGAAGGCAGCCUCCUGGGAUAACACUAACGCUCAUGCACGAAAACGUGGGGAGCAAACAGG
Molecule: ribosomal RNA, 429 nt
Filed under: Acidobacteriota bacterium
Lineage: Bacteria; Pseudomonadati; Acidobacteriota
Description: Acidobacteria bacterium partial 16S ribosomal RNA
Rfam family: Bacterial small subunit ribosomal RNA
Source: RNAcentral